UAGAGAGAGACAUGCGCGCAUAUCAAUAAGCGGAGGAAAAGAAACUAACAAGGAUUCCCUUAGUAACGGCGAGUGAAGCGGGAAGAGCUCAAAUUUGAAAUCUUCAAGGUUUUACCUUGACGAAUUGUAGUUUAAAGAAGUGUUUUCUGUUGGUGUUUUGGUAAAAGUUCUUUGGAAUAGGACAUCAUAGAGGGUGAGAAUCCCGUAUUUGGUCAUUCCUCCUAGCGUUGUGAUACACUUUCAACGAGUCGGAUUGUUUGGGAACGCAGUCCAAAAUGGGUGGUAAAUUUCAUCUAAAGCUAAAUAUUGGCGAGAGACCGAUAGCGAACAAGUACCGUGAGGGAAAGAUGAAAAGAACUUUGAAAAGAGAGUUAAACAGUACGUGAAAUUGUCAAAAGGGAAGCGUUUGACACCAGUGUUGUUUUUCCGAAAAUCAAUUACGAAUGUUUUAUUUUUGAGGAGUUAUGACUUCAUCGGCUUGCUCCUUUCUUUAUGAAACUUUCUUAAUGCACUUUUCGGUUAACAAGUCAACAUCAAUUUCUUUUGUUGUAAAAGAGUCAUUGGAAGGUGGCUUUCACUUCGGUGAAAGUGUUUAUAGCCUUGUACCUCUGCAAUCGGAGAGAUUGAGGUCUGCAGCGUAGAUCCUUCGGGGUUAGAUACAGUUAGAUGCUAAGUUAUAGCUUUUUCAUAGACAACUUGUUGACUAUGAUUUAAUCAUUGUAGCUUACUCGCUUAUGCUAUUUUACCUACGCUUAGGAUGUUGAUAGUCACAGCGUGUAC
RNAcentral lists this ribosomal RNA (780 nucleotides) under uncultured Neocallimastigales. RNAcentral describes it as "partial large subunit ribosomal RNA". It matches the Rfam family "Eukaryotic large subunit ribosomal RNA", at positions 23 to 644 of the family's 3401-position model. The record is from RNAcentral. Lineage: Eukaryota; Fungi; Neocallimastigomycota; Neocallimastigomycetes; Neocallimastigales.